Molecule: ribosomal RNA, 467 nt
Filed under: uncultured bacterium
Lineage: Bacteria
Description: partial 16S ribosomal RNA
Rfam family: Bacterial small subunit ribosomal RNA
Source: RNAcentral
ACGAACGCUGGCGGCGUGCUUAACACAUGCAAGUCGCACGGAAAGGCCCUGCUUUUGUGGGGUGCUCGAGUGGCGAACGGGUGAGUAACACGUGAGUAGCCUGCCCUUGACUUUGGGAUAACUUCAGGAAACUGGGGCUAAUACCGGAUAGGAGCUCCUGCUGCAUGGUGGGGGUUGGAAAGUUUCGGCGGUUGGGGAUGGACCCGCGGCUUAUCAGCUUGUUGGUGGGGUAGUGGCUUACCAAGGCUUUGACGGGUAGCCGGCCUGAGAGGGUGACCGGCCACAUUGGGACUGAGAUACGGCCCAGACUCCUACGGGAGGCAGCAGUGGGGAAUAUUGCACAAUGGGCGGAAGCCUGAUGCAGCAACGCCGCGUGCGGGAUGACGGCCUUCGGGUUGUAAACCGCUUUCGCCUGUGACGAAGCGUGAGUGACGGUAAUGGGUAAAGAAGCACCAGCUAACUACGUG